Molecule: non-coding RNA, 127 nt
Organism: Gossypium hirsutum (cotton)
Lineage: Eukaryota; Viridiplantae; Streptophyta; Magnoliopsida; Malvales; Malvaceae
Source: Rfam
UGUUAAAAAAUUCAUCCAUUUCUACUAUUAAAAACUGAUGUGGUUAAUAGAAUAACCACGCCACGUGUACCUCAUUCUAAUAUAAAAGACCAGUUUUUAAUAGUAGAAAUGGAUAGAAUUUUUAACA